CCUACGGGUGGCAGCAGUGAGGAAUAUUGGUCAAUGGGCGCGAGCCUGAACCAGCCAAGCAGCGUGAAGGAUGACUGUCCUACGGGUCGUAAACCUCUUUUAUAAAGGAAUAAAGUGAGGCACGAGUGCCUUUUUGAAUGUACUUUAUGAAUAAGGAUCGGCUAACUCCGUGCCAGCAGCCGCGGUAAUACGGAGGAUCCGAGCGUUAUCCGGAUUUAUUGGGUUUAAAGGGUGCGUAGACGGGUUGUUAAGUCAGCUGUGAAAGGCUGCGGCUCAACCCUAAGAUAGCAGUUGAUACUGGCGGGCUGGAGUUGGAGUGAGGUAGGCGGAAUGCGUGGUGUAGCGGUGAAAUGCUUAGAUAUCGCGAAGAACUCCGAUUGCGAAGGCAGCCUACUGGACUGCCACUGACGUUGGUGCUCGAAAGUGUGGGUAUCGAACAGGAUUAGAUACCCUAGUAGUC
This 460-nucleotide ribosomal RNA is filed under the name uncultured bacterium. RNAcentral describes it as "partial 16S ribosomal RNA". It matches the Rfam family "Bacterial small subunit ribosomal RNA", at positions 338 to 795 of the family's 1533-position model. The record is from RNAcentral.